CAGUAACGGCGAGUGAAGCGGCAACAGCUCAAAUUUGAAAUCUGGCCCUCUCAGGGUCCGAGUUGUAAUUUGGAGAGGAUGCUUCGGGUGUGGCCCCGGUCUAAGUUCCUUGGAACAGGACGUCACAGAGGGUGAGAAUCCCGUACGUGCCCGGUGGCCGCCCCCGUGUGAAGCUCCUUCGACGAGUCGAGUUGUUUGGGAAUGCAGCUCAAAAUGGGUGGUAAAUUUCAUCUAAAGCUAAAUAUUGGCCAGAGACCGAUAGCGCACAAGUAGAGUGAUCGAAAGAUGAAAAGCACUUUGGAAAGAGAGUUAAACAGUACGUGAAAUUGUUGAAAGGGAAGCGCUGGCAACCAGACUUGCGCAGGGUCGAUCAUCCGGUGUUCGCACCGGUGCACUCGGCCCCGUGCAGGCCAGCAUCGGUCUAGACGGUUGGAUAAAGGCCUUGGGAAUGUGACUCUCUUCGGGGAGUGUUAUAGCCCAAGGUGCAAUGCAGCCCGUCUGGACCGAGGACCGCGCUCCGGCUAGGAUGCUGGCGUAAUGGUUGUCAGCGACCCGUCUUGAAACACGGACCAAGGAGUCUAACAUCUAUGCGAGUGUUUGGGUGUCAAACCCAUGCGCGUAAUGAAAGUGAACGGAGGUGAGAACCCUGAAGGGUGCAUCAUCGACCGAUCCAGAUGUCUUCGGAUGGAUUUGAGUAAGAGCAUAGCUGUUGGGACCCGAAAGAUGGUGAACUAUGCCUGAAUAGGGUGAAGCCAGAGGAAACUCUGGUGGAGGCUCGCAGCGGUUCUGACGUGCAAAUCGAUCGUCAAAUUUGGGCAUAGGGGCGAAAGACUAAUCGAACCAUUAGUUGCUAGGUGGUUAAGAGACGAUCGAGAGUGAGUUUAGUGGUAAUCGCACCGCAACACUGUCAAAUUGCGGGGACGUCCUGCUGAAGUAUAGCUACCGCCUCUGCGUAUCGAAAGAUCGAGAGUGCACCAGGUUAAUGACCUCGGGUAUGGUAAUAACGCUAUAUGGAAGGAUAACCUGCAGCCAAGCCCUGUAAAAUGGGCGCAGUUCACAGACUAAAUGUCAGUGGGUGAGAAGAUGACUUCUUGCUUAAGUUAUAGUCGGUCCCCUAGGUAACUAGGCUGAUUAGAUGAAGCUUAUAGGGGGCGAUCUUGCUCUGCAAGCCCUGUUUGCCCAAGCUAAUUGGGGGCACUAUAUAUCAUAUAGUAGCCUGGGAUGAGAACAUAUAGUGAUGCUCUACAAGCAUGAUUCUAUAUUUCUCGAAACGCUAGUAGCUGGUUCCUGCCGAAGUUUCCCUCAGGAUAGCAGUGUUGAAUUCAGUUUUAUGAGGUAAAGCGAAUGAUUAGAGGCCUUGGGGUUGAAACAACCUUAACCUAUUCUCAAACUUUAAAUAUGUAAGAAGUCCUUGUUACUUAAUUGAACGUGGACAUUCGAAUGUACCAACACUAGUGGGCCAUUUUUGGUAAGCAGAACUGGCGAUGCGGGAUGAACCGAACGUGGAGUUAAGGUGCCGGAAUGUACGCUCAUCAGACACCACAAAAGGUGUUAAUUCAUCUUGACAGCAGGACGGUGGCCAUGGAAGUCGGAAUCCGCUAAGGAGUGUGUAACAACUCACCUGCCGAAUGAAUUAGCCCUGAAAAUGGAUGGCGCUUAAGCGUACUACCCAUACUCCGCCGCCAGGGUAGAAACGAUGCCCUGGCGAGUAGGCAGGCGUGGAGGUCCGUGACG
This 1734-nucleotide ribosomal RNA is filed under the name Oidiodendron sp. RNAcentral's name for it is "partial large subunit ribosomal RNA". It matches the Rfam family "Eukaryotic large subunit ribosomal RNA", at positions 81 to 1405 of the family's 3401-position model. Lineage: Eukaryota; Fungi; Ascomycota; Leotiomycetes; Myxotrichaceae. The record is from RNAcentral.